RNAcentral lists this ribosomal RNA (506 nucleotides) under uncultured bacterium. RNAcentral describes it as "partial 16S ribosomal RNA". It matches the Rfam family "Bacterial small subunit ribosomal RNA", at positions 30 to 523 of the family's 1533-position model. The record is from RNAcentral.
AUUGAACGCUGGCGGCAUGCCUUACACAUGCAAGUCGAACGGCAGCAUGGAAGAGCUUGCUCUUCUGAUGGCGAGUGGCGAACGGGUGAGUAAAGCAUCGGAACGUACCGUGUAGUGGGGGAUAACGUAGCGAAAGUUACGCUAAUACCGCAUACGCACUGAGGUGGAAAGCAGGGGAUCGCAAGACCUUGCGCUAUACGAGCGGCCGAUGUCAGAUUAGCUAGUUGGUAGGGUAAAGGCCUACCAAGGCGACGAUCUGUAGCGGGUCUGAGAGGAUUAUCCGCCACACUGGGACUGGGACACGGCCCAGACUCCUACGGGAGGCAGCAGUGGGGAAUUUUGGACAAUGGGGGAAACCCUGAUCCAGCCAUGCCGCGUGAGUGAAGAAGGCCUUCGGGUUGUAAAGCUCUUUCGGCUGGGAAGAAAUCGCACAGGCUAAUACUCUGUGUGGAUGACGGUACCAGCAUAAGAAGCACCGGCUAACUACGUGCCAGCCGCCGCCGUAA